UGAGGAUGCCUUCAAAGGUAUAAAACUCAACAUCUAUGAUUGCGUCAGCAUGCAUAGCCACAUCAAGGAGUGGGGAGGAUGGGAGGAUGAAUUACGCAUGAACCAACACACUGUUUCAGCAAAAGAGUACUGCCAAUUACUGCACUCCAGUAUCAGCCAUCUAAAUUCUGUAGGCACCAGAAACCGGAGUGCAAGAAGGGACAUGAAAUUUGAUGGCUUGCGUCGAGGGGAGACCAUUGCUGCAUUACAGGUAGGAGGUGAUGCAUUGGAAGUCGUGUGUGUACAUCGUGUCUUGGUGUGAUGGAGGAGACGUUGGUGCUCUGCAGUUUUGUUUCAGGUUGGUUGUACCUCCUUUAAUACAAUCUAGGCGUUGGUGCUAUGUUUUUUUUGCUUCGGGGUUUGUUUGACGUGAUCUGCUCUCAUCUUUCUUUAAGGCUGUGGUUUUCAGUAUGCAUACUGCCUCCUGAGAAGAACUGCUUCCGAGUGUAGUCAGAAGAUUAGGAUUGAAAGUAAAUCUUAUGGCGUUUGGUUGUAUGGGACUGGUAUGUCGAGAUUGAUUAGUGUCUGUCAACUCUCAUCACGAUCGAUACACGGCCAAGCUGUCUGUUGUCAUCUCUUUUCUACAGUAGAAAUACAUCCAC
This is a non-coding RNA of Lolium perenne, 641 nucleotides long. NCBI's taxonomy places the organism in Eukaryota, Viridiplantae, Streptophyta, Magnoliopsida, Poales, Poaceae. The record is from RefSeq and is a predicted model, not a curated record.